Molecule: ribosomal RNA, 71 nt
Filed under: Klebsiella pneumoniae
Lineage: Bacteria; Pseudomonadati; Pseudomonadota; Gammaproteobacteria; Enterobacterales; Enterobacteriaceae
Description: partial 16S ribosomal RNA
Rfam family: Bacterial small subunit ribosomal RNA (bases 1-61)
Source: RNAcentral
GACUGGGGUGAAGUCGUAACAAGGUAACCGUAGGGGAACCUGCGGUUGGAUCACCUCCUUACCUUAAAGAA